UCCCUGUCACCGAGAGUGGGCGGGCCAUUUCUUGUUCUCCCUCCCGCUCUCGGAAGCUUUCGUCCCGUGGGUGCGAAAGGUAACCGAAGUGGCUCAGGAAGGCAGCUGUCACUGAGCCUCUGGAAGAGAGCGAGAGUAUCGCAGUGGGCAGCAGUCAGUGACAGGUGUAACCUCUGUGGAUGACAGCAACAGUUACUGGAGGAUACGGGGGAAGACUGCCACAGUGUGUGAGAGGGGAACCCCCAUCAAGUGUGGCCAGCCCAUCCGGCUGACACAUGUCAACACUGGCCGAAACCUCCAUAGUCACCACUUCACUUCACCUCUUUCUGGAAACCAGGAAGUGAGUGCUUUUGGUGAGGAAGGUGAAGGUGAUUAUCUGGAUGACUGGACAGUACUCUGUAAUGGACCCUACUGGGUGAGAGAUGGUGAGGUGCGGUUCAAACACUCUUCCACUGAGGUACUGCUGUCUGUCACAGGAGAACAAUAUGGUCGACCUAUCAGUGGGCAAAAAGAGGUGCAUGGCAUGGCCCAGCCAAGUCAGAACAACUACUGGAAAGCCAUGGAAGGCAUCUUCAUGAAGCCCAGUGAGUUGUUGAAGGCAGAAGCCCACCAUGCAGAGCUAUGAAUCUAGAGGCUCUGAGCCACUGUUAAUGCACAAUGUUCACAGACGUCUGUUGCUGCCUCACCUUGGGAUCCCUGUCACAAGUUCCUUGGGCAGUGGCCGUGUUACCAUUGAGAUGAAGAUAUACAACAGAAAAUAGUGGCUGUGUUUGGAAACUUCAGCCCCGCAUACUUGAACUAGUCACUCUCCCAGAUUUGCGUGGGUCAGUUCUUUCUGAGUAGAGGACUUGCUGGUAAAGGGGCAGAUGCUUUUUAUUCAUACUGAUAAACUGAGGGGAACAUCCCUCUUAGCUGGGAAACUUUUUACUCUUCAGGAGCUUGGCAUCAUGGACUGUUUAUGUGAUUUUUCCCCUAUUUUCUCUCUCCAAAAUGAUAAAAACAAUAAUUUUAUUAUGA
RNAcentral lists this small RNA (1017 nucleotides) under Pongo abelii (Sumatran orangutan). RNAcentral's name for it is "processed transcript". The record is from RNAcentral. Lineage: Eukaryota; Metazoa; Chordata; Mammalia; Primates; Hominidae.